Long non-coding RNA from Cyprinus carpio (common carp), 1200 nucleotides. NCBI's taxonomy places the organism in Eukaryota, Metazoa, Chordata, Actinopteri, Cypriniformes, Cyprinidae. The record is from Ensembl.
AUUUCAACUGGUGUAGUUUCUAAUUCUAUACAAGGUAUCUAUCUGUCUAAAUCUAAAUUAUGUGUCUUUACAUGUGAAAUAGAUAUACAUCUGUUUUAUUUUUGUUUAGUUUUAUUUUUGUGUGAAACACUAUGUGCUGCCAUUUUUGACAGGUCUCCCUGGAAGAAGAGACUGUGAUGUCUCAGUGGGAUUCUCCUGGCUAAAUUAAGGAUAAAUAAAUAAAUGAAGGUAAGGUGAAAUAAGCAUUCUGUAUACCAAAACCACCUACUGUAAUUAAAGUAUAUGGGCAUUCCCCUCUCUAUCUUUACACUUUUUUUCUCUCUCUGUGCUGCAGCCAAGAUUAAAGAUGGAGAAAGGCCCAAGAGUCUUCUCUGGUUUCACUGCUACCACGUGCCUGUUGUCUAUCAAGGGCUGUGCUGCUUGCUCUCUCUCUCUCUCUCUCUCUCUGUCUGUCUGUCUCUCUCUCUCUCUUGCUCUCUCUCUCGGGUUUGUCUUGGGUUAAAUAAAUAAGAGCGCACGAGGAACACUGGCUCCAGUUCCUCUCAUGCUGGGCUGCUCCAGAACACACUGAUCUUGGGGCUGACAAGAUGCAUGUGCAUUGCUGUAAGCAUGGGGAAAGGCCUCUGUCUGAUUAGCAUUCAGUCCUUGCACAGACUGCAUCAAGGAACUCCAUGGCCAGCCCCCCUCCUCUCUCCUUCACGUUCUCACUCUCUCCCCCCUCUUUCUGCAUCAUUCUGCUGGACCAGAACCCCUCAGUACAAAACAAAAGAAACAUCUUGUGUGAUAAAGAUUUCGGCAACAGAUGUAUUAUUGUAUAAGGCCAUUGGAAAGCAGCUAAAUAAAGACAGUUUAAGUCUGACUGAUGAGCCCAUGUGAUGAACGUAACCUCCCAAGUCAGUCCAGACGUGGACCAGGUAAGUCCGAAUCUGUUUCAUACAUCAUCAACACCUUUCCUCCAAUCUGAGUCACAGUCACUCAGCCAGGCAAUCGCUCAAAUAGAUGAGCCUGACCUUUCUGAAAGGGGCUCCAACUGAGACACCAAAGGCAGAAGUGAUACAAGACUUGAGAGUUUACUAAAUGUCAGAUAUCUCAUUAGUAGAAUUUACCAGACUUGAGCAGGUUAAAUCCCAGUAAGUGAUGUCUAUAAUUACCAAGACUGAUGAUUAAAUCACUGGUGAAUGUGAACAAACAUCGGAAACC